UACGUAGGGGGCAAGCGUUGUCCGGAUUUAUUGGGCGUAAAGCGUGUGUAGGCGGCCCGGCAGGUCAGCUGUGAAAACUCGAGGCUCAACCUCGAGACGCCGGUUGAAACCAUCUGGCUAGAGUCCGGAAGAGGAGAGUGGAAUUCCUGGUGUAGCGGUGAAAUGCGCAGAUAUCAGGAAGAACACCCGUGGCUAAGGCGGCUCUCUAGUACGGUACUGACGCUGAGACGCGAAAGCGUGGGGAGCGAACAGG
RNAcentral lists this ribosomal RNA (253 nucleotides) under uncultured bacterium. RNAcentral's name for it is "partial 16S ribosomal RNA". It matches the Rfam family "Bacterial small subunit ribosomal RNA", at positions 524 to 776 of the family's 1533-position model. The record is from RNAcentral.